UGCAGCUCCUGUUUUUUGUACACCCCAUAAACCAUAUCCACCAAUGGCUACAGAACAACCCACUUCAGCAGCUUAACUUCCCUUCUUUUUCUCCCUACCACACGCCAAACUUUCCACACCAAUUCCCACCAUCUUCUUCUAAUCAUUCUUCUCCCAAUUCCCUCACUUUCCCUGUCACCCCUCCAAUUUUUCUCGGAAAAUCUUAUUUCUUGCAUUUGAUCCGAUUAACAACAUGUUUCUUGGAUCUUGCAAAAUUUUAAGGGAAAAAUCCCUUUGCUUUUGUGAAGUCCAAUAACCAUCUCUGCUUUCCAUUUCUCUUGAAUCAUAUAUAGACUUGGAAAGUUAUUAGCUUUUCUUGUUCUGAUAUGGAGGUCGAAACAGAGCGGGUAGCUCACCAAGAUUGCCAUGUCAAUGGAACAAGGCACGUUCUGUUUGGGAAGUACGAGAUGGGGAAGCUCUUAGGCCAAGGGACCUUCGCCAAGGUCUAUAAAGGGAAAAACUUGGCUACCCAGGAGAGUGUUGCCAUUAAAGUCAUCCAUAAGGACCAUGUAAAGAAGAAAGGAUUAAUGGACCAAAUAAAGCGAGAGAUCUCUGUGAUGCAUCUCGUCAAGCACCCAAAUAUUGUCGAGUUGAAGGAGGUCAUGGCCACCAAAUCAAAGGUUUUCUUCGUCAUGGAAUUUGUGAGAGGCGGUGAGUUGUUUGCCAAAAUCGAGAAGGGAAAGCUCAUGGAAGAUUUGGCCAGAAAAUAUUUUCAACAAUUAAUUAGCGCGGUUGAUUAUUGCCAUAGCCGUGGAGUUUCUCACCGUGAUUUAAAGCCUGAGAAUCUUCUCUUGGACGAGAAUGGUGACUUGAAAGUCUCCGAUUUUGGCCUCUCCGCCCUUCCGGAGCAGCACUGGAACGAUGGGUUGCUACACACACAAUGUGGCACUCCGGCGUAUGUUGCCCCUGAGGUUUUGAGGAAGAAAGGGUACGAUGGUGCGAAGGCUGAUAUCUGGUCUUGUGGCGUUAUUCUUUUUGUUUUGCUUGCUGGGUACUUGCCAUUUCAAAACGCGAAUUUGAUGAAGAUGUAUGUGAAGAUUUUCAAGGCGGAGUACGAGUUCCCUCCCUGGAUUUCACCGGAUGCCCGGAGAUUGAUUUCCAAGCUUCUCGUUGUUGAUCCAGAGAGGAGAAUCGCAGUCCCUCAUAUAAGGCAAAAUCCCUGGUUUUGCAAGGGACUCACUAUACCCAUCACGCUUUGUAACGAUUCAGAAGAAAGCGAGAAGGGUCGCGAAGUUAUUGGUGAAGAAAUGAUUAAACUAUCAGAAACAAAUCAUUCUCCACCUUUCUAUAAUGCAUUUGAGUUCAUAUCAGCCAUGUCGUCCGGAUUUGAUCUGUCAAGCUUGUUCGAAAACAAGAAGAAAUCUGGUUCAAUGUUCACUUCAAAGUGUUCCGCGCCGGUGAUCCUAACAAAGUUGGAAUCAGCAGCGAAGGAGUUGAAUUUUAGAGUGGUGAGUGACUCAGAAUUUAAGGUGAAAUUGCAGGGGAAAGUGGAAGGAAGGAAAGGAAAACUGGCAGUGACAGCGGAGGUGUUCGAAGUAGCACCGGAAGUGGCGGUGGUUGAGUUCUCCAAGUCAUCCGGCGAUACUCUUGAGUACACCAAGUUUUGUGAAGCGGAUGUUAGGCCUGCCCUGAAAGACAUAGUUUGGAGUUGGCAAGGUGAAGGCAACUGCCACCAACUAGAAGGCCAUGUAGCUACAAGUUAGGUUUGGUUAAUUAUUAGCAAAAAAACAAAAUUAUAAAAUCAUCAAACCAGAAGUCUAAUAUUGUAGAUAGCAUUGUCCUAAACUUAAGUCCUAAACUUAAUAUCCUUGUAUAUUCUUUUAACCCUUUUGGUUUUAGGCAAUGGGUUGAAUGUUUUGUAAUGUUAAAUAUCAUUGCAAAUGGUUUUGAUUGUGUAAAUGAGGGAUUUGUUGAAGGGGCACUGCUAAGGACUUUGUCAGAUAUGAAAUUGUUUCCUUGUAUUUGUGUUUGAAAAUGGAAGGAUAGUUAAUGUUUUGAAUCACAAGGCCUUCCUUGUCUAAAGGCUAUCCUAUCCGAAAGAAUUAUAUUCUGAAAGCAUUCAGUAAUGGGAGUUAUGCCCAUAGCUUUCAGUUAUAGGAGUUAUUGCCAAUUGGAUGUGAAGAGCAAAUGGCAUUGUUGUUUGUUAAAAGAAAGUACAACUGCAUCAUCAAUUAAGUGCAACAAAAACUCUACAAAGGUAGCAACUGGGUAGCCAUUGAUCAACAAGAGUCCAAUGAGCAUACAUUGCAAGCCAACUAACCAUUGUCCUGAAUUCCACUGGUUGGAGGUCAACUUUUGUGGGUGGAUCAUGAAUUAUUAUUAUUAUUAUUACUACGAAUAAUACUAUAGGGAUCAUGUUGA
This 2400-nucleotide unclassified non-coding RNA is filed under the name Hevea brasiliensis (rubber tree). Lineage: Eukaryota; Viridiplantae; Streptophyta; Magnoliopsida; Malpighiales; Euphorbiaceae. The record is from RNAcentral.